GGUAAAGUGGCCGAGCAGGCGGCGGAUUGUAGCUCCGAAGACAGAGGUUAAAGCCCUUUCUUUAUCAG
This 68-nucleotide transfer RNA is filed under the name Rana coreana (Korean brown frog). RNAcentral describes it as "tRNA-Tyr". It matches the Rfam family "tRNA". Rfam says of the family: Transfer RNA (tRNA) molecules are approximately 80 nucleotides in length. The record is from RNAcentral. Lineage: Eukaryota; Metazoa; Chordata; Amphibia; Anura; Ranidae.